GUGCUUGCUUUGGGAGCGCAUAUACUAAAAUUAGAAUGAUACACAGAAGAUUAGCAUGGCCCCUGUGCAAAGAUGACACACAAAUUCGUGAACUGUUCCAUAUUUUU
Molecule: small nuclear RNA, 107 nt
Organism: Ictidomys tridecemlineatus (thirteen-lined ground squirrel)
Lineage: Eukaryota; Metazoa; Chordata; Mammalia; Rodentia; Sciuridae
Source: Ensembl